This is a long non-coding RNA of Cervus elaphus (red deer), 1038 nucleotides long. RefSeq lists it as uncharacterized. Lineage: Eukaryota; Metazoa; Chordata; Mammalia; Artiodactyla; Cervidae. The record is from RefSeq and is a predicted model, not a curated record. The transcript has 6 exons.
GUUUGAGUUUCCUGAGACCUACAGCAAAUUCCCAUUGGCUACCUACUUUACAUAUGAGUUGCCCUACUUGAGGCCAAGGAGCCAGGCUUUGUAUCUCCCAUCAGUCACUGGCCACCUGCUGGAGGUGGGGGUCCUUUUGGAGGACAGAUUAAAAUGGGUGAUGAUUGACCCUGCUGUCUUAGAAUGACCCUGGAGAACUUCAAGAGUGUCUUCUACCUGUUCACACAUGAAAACUAUUGAGAUUGGAGAUCCUUGAGCAUAUAUAUUCCAAGUGUGGACCCUUGUCAUCUAAGGAAAAUGGACCUCUUAAAAGCAGCGAAGGAACAACGAUGAUUAUGGAGGAGAAUCCUAAUUUAGCAUGUAAGAGAGCACCUGUGGCUUUAUUCAACUGCUGCUGUUGGCAAUGAAGAUACAAUAAUCAUGCAAUUUAUUAGAAGCUUUAUUAGGAAUGACCACGGCUUCCCUGGCGGCUCCGGAGGCAUUGUGACCUUGGACACCUGGAAGAUGGCAGAGCUGCCAUCAGCCUGGGUUCCUGAAUGGCCACAGGAAUCCAAGCUGCCUGCUGGCUGAAAUGCUGACCUUGGGUUGUUAGAAUAGGGGGUCCAGAAGAAGAGAAGAGGUCACCUUGCCAGCAGCACGGAUGAAGGACAGCAAAAUGGGUGGAGAAGGCUCAACGUAAGUGAUGGUAUCACAGGUUAGAUGGAAAAAAAGAAAGGUAACCUGUAGCAUGUGCCAAGUUUAUGAAGACAUCAUGCUAAGCAACUUACAUGCACUAUAUCUCAUCUCAUCCCAAUAAUGACUUUACAAGAUAGGUGUUAUGAUUGCUUUCAUUUUGUUGAAGCUGAGAGCUAUGUGUCAUUUUCACCAGGUAAUGGAACUAGUAAAUGACAGAACAAGAAUUUCGACAUGGUUUCAUACAACUCCCAGUCUAACUCUUUAUACCAUACCCUAGCACCAUUUUGGAAAAAAAAGCAAAAAAACAAAAAACCUCUGUUGAUCCUCAAAACUAUUGUUAUUUUUCUUAUUAUGACUUGGUAA